RNAcentral lists this ribosomal RNA (178 nucleotides) under uncultured Pasteurellales bacterium. RNAcentral describes it as "partial 16S ribosomal RNA". It matches the Rfam family "Bacterial small subunit ribosomal RNA", at positions 154 to 334 of the family's 1533-position model. The record is from RNAcentral. Lineage: Bacteria; Pseudomonadati; Pseudomonadota; Gammaproteobacteria; Pasteurellales.
AAACUGUAGCUAAUACCGCGUAGUAUCGAGAGAUGAAAGUGUGGGACCUUCGGGCCACAUGCCAUAGGAUGAGCCCAAGUGGGAUUAGGUAGUUGGUGAGGUAAAGGCUCACCAAGCCGACGAUCUCUAGCUGGUCUGAGAGGAUGACCAGCCACGCUGGGACUGAGACACGGCCCAG